GUGGGGAAUAUUGGACAAUGGGCGAAAGCCUGAUCCAGCCAUGCCGCGUGUGUGAAGAAGGUCUUCGGAUUGUAAAGCACUUUAAGUUGGGAGGAAGGGCAGUAAGUUAAUACCUUGCUGUUUUGACGUUACCGACAGAAUAAGCACCGGCUAACUCUGUGCCAGCAGCCGCGGUAAUACAGAGGGUGCAAGCGUUAAUCGGAUUUACUGGGCGUAAAGCGCGCGUAGGUGGCCAAUUAAGUCAAAUGUGAAAUCCCCGAGCUUAACUUGGGAACUGCCUUCAAAACUGCAUGACUAGAGUACGGUAGAGGGUAGUGGAAUUUCCUGUGUAGCGGUGAAAUGCGUAGAUAUAGGAAGGAACACCAGUGGCGAAGGCGACUACCUGGACUGAUACUGACACUGAGGUGCGAAAGCGUGGGGAGCAAACAGGAUUAGAAACCCUGGUAGUCC
This 450-nucleotide ribosomal RNA is filed under the name uncultured bacterium. RNAcentral describes it as "partial 16S ribosomal RNA". It matches the Rfam family "Bacterial small subunit ribosomal RNA", at positions 354 to 796 of the family's 1533-position model. The record is from RNAcentral.